CAUCAUAUCUUUGUAAUAAUUGUUCUAUUGUAUCUAUCACACCUUCAUUUAUAAUGUCUUCAUCUAACACCCCAGUCAUGCCCUUCUAACACCCCAGUCUGGCAUUUGUGACAUCCUAGUCAUACACAUUCAACUUAUAAUACAUACAGACAUCAUAUCUUUGUAAUAAUUGUUCUAUUGUAUCUAUCACACCUUCAUUUAUAAUGUCUUCAUCUAACACCCC
RNAcentral lists this long non-coding RNA (223 nucleotides) under Mytilus galloprovincialis (Mediterranean mussel). Lineage: Eukaryota; Metazoa; Mollusca; Bivalvia; Mytilida; Mytilidae. The record is from RNAcentral.